This is a non-coding RNA of Tetranychus urticae (two-spotted spider mite), 3433 nucleotides long. NCBI's taxonomy places the organism in Eukaryota, Metazoa, Arthropoda, Arachnida, Trombidiformes, Tetranychidae. The record is from RefSeq and is a predicted model, not a curated record.
CUACGGUCAUGUUGAUUUUUUAUCAUAAUCUUGAAGGAAGUCAUGGAGAAGAAGAAAAGUGCAACAUGGAAAAGUAAGGGAACCAGACGAUCAUUGGACAUUGAAAGUCAAAUUAACUUGGAAACUCAAGCUUAAUGUUGGAUACCUCUUUCAAGACCAAUAUUGAUCGUUUGAAUCUCAUGCUUCUUCUUUCUUCAUCUCCUUUUCCAGAUAUAAUAACACCAUGGAUUUCAUUUUCUUCAUUCGUUGCUGAUCGACCAAAUAAUCUUUCUCUUUCUCAUACUUCUUUUUGUUGAAUGAUUUCCAGAUUUCCAGACUUGCUGUAACGUUACAAAAACCAAGUCAACUAAUCAGAAAAACCUAAGGAAAUAACAAUGAAAGAUAAAGAAAUCUCGACCAAGUGGCUUCAAGAAUUCAAGUAGCGCUGCAAUGACAAUGACUUUUGAAAGAGCAAAAGAGUAUGGUAAAGAAACAUUUGAUCAUUACUGAUUGUUUUGGAGUUUCAAUUUUUGGUGUUGAUAGCUACAACUAUGUAUAACCUUUAGAUACGUUUGUUUCUUGGUGACUUUAGUGUAUGACGUUAGCUCAGCGAUCUUAUAUACUUCAUCAAACUUAUGAAAAGACAUCACACAAUCAUAUUCACAAGGAUUUAUCAGAUGUAUACAUGACAAUCAUAAGGAAUAUAAAGUAUUACCAAAAUGAUCGUCUUAUAUUCUUGCCUCAUUCACGUUUAUGCUUGAAAGGAAAAAAGAAAGAUUGAGCAAAGUUUGGAUGCAAAAUACAUUGCAGGAUAUAACACAAAGCUAAGUUGGAUAUAAACAUUGGAAGAAUAAUAAGGAAGAAAAGGAAGAGGAAAAUAUGAGUUAUACGUUCGCCUUUUUCGGUUUCAUAACAAGAGCCUGGAAAAAAAGAUGAAGAGACAGUUAUGACAAUUGUCAAAUCUCAAAAUGGGACUCUUCAGGAACAAAAAAUUUGAGGAAUGAUUUUCACUCCUUUUUCUUCAUCAUUUUCAUCAUUAUUAUCAGUGUAUUUUUUUCAUCUUCAACUCAAGUUUGUUCCUCUGUUUUCUCCUUUUCUCUCACUAUUUCUUAAACUUUGCCUUCACUGACAGUGGUAGUGUACAGUUGACUGGAGUUUAAAAAUUCGAUGAGAUUGAAAGAAUGAGACCCAGAAAAGGUGGAGAAUAAACUUGAACAUGGAAGAAGAAAAGAGGAAAAGAAGAAAGAUAAAAGAGUGAAAAGUUACUUAAAAUGAAAUUUGGCAACACGGAAAAACAGUCAAAAGAAAUAGACUCGAAUAUUUCCUCUUUCAGGCGAUUCUCAUGGAUGUUUUUCAAAGGCUCAACCCAAUCUAUCUGUUAAUAUCAACUUUUUUUCAUCUGAGACUUUCUUCUUUCUCUCUCUUUCAGUAAACUACAUUGGUAACAAUUUUCUUCUCAUGUUUACCAUGAAACCUGACUUCACGAAAGAAUUCAGCUCAAGUUUUGAGUGAGCAUAAUACACAAACACACAAACACAUACACUCAAUCAGAAUCCGUAAACAUAUUUCCAGGAGCAAUAAAAGAGUUGAUUCCAAUAUGAAUCAUUUUCUUUUUUCAUACGCCUCAAGAGUUGCAAAUAUGGUUCUAUUUUAGCAUGGGAUGUUGGUUUUAUACUCAAACAAUUCACAACCAAAUGUAUCAUCAUAAUCAACAUUAUGAUAACUUUCGAGGUAGAGAAGUGUAACAAAUUUUUCACAAAUUCCAGAUACAGAUAACCAUUAAAUUUGUAUUCAAUUACUUUUGCUUGAAAAAUUAUCAAAUGACGAGGUUUCAAUUGUGAAAGUUUUGAUGACAUGAUAUGACCAAGAAUAGGAUGUUUCAAAGAUGUGACAAAAGACGAGAUGAAACAUGAAAGUGAACAAUCAAAGUAACCAUAGAAGUAUACUAUUGUCAUGAUGAUGAGAGCAUAAAAUGCCAUUUUGGCAAUAUUGGUUUCCAGUUGAGCUCAUCUCAAAUAUCAAUUUGACGUAUUCGAAGGCGAGAGAAAAUAUCAGUCAACUUCUUAUCAGUAAACAAAGAUUUCAAUCAUUAAUUAUUGAUCCAGACCAGAAGGAAUGAUUGAAUAAAGUUGACAAAAAGUGAUAAAAGUGAAAGGAAACGUGCAAAGGCAAACAUGGCUCACAGGCAUUUGAAUUAUUAUCGUUUAAUAUCAAGUAAAAACGGAAAUGAAAUGUUUUCAGAUGCAAGGGGAAAAAGUGCAAUAAUAAACUGAGUUUGCCUGACAGAGCUGUUUACUUGAGUAUAAUUUUGACACGGUAUACAGUGAAUAAUAUGAAAUAUAUGAGAAAAAAUGUAUGAUUUUGUAAUAGGAUUGGAAUCACCUUGAGGCCAAAUCAACAUCUAAAUACUUUCAAAUUGACCCAAUUUCCUGUCUAAUGGAAUAAUCAGAAUAAUCAAUAUUGAAAUUGUUUAAAGUUUGACUUGGAAUAAAAUUUAGAAGCAAUUUCUCUCGUUUUUUCCCAUGCUUCACCAUGAAAACAACAUUUCCAUUUUUAUUAGAUUAUCAAUCGAUUAUAACAUUAUAUGACCCAAUCAAUUGACGAUGCUUCAUUUUGGUUUACAAUUAGAUAAAUCAUUAUCCAUGUUGGAGAGCAAUUUGUUAAAAAAUAACAUCGAGUACAGGAAAACACCAUAAAACAUUGGAUAACAGCAUGAUCAUCAUGAAGAUCAUCAUCAUAAUCAUCAUCAAAUGAUUUAGGAACCAUUGUGGUAAUCAUACUCAACUUCAAUGAUAAUUUUCAUUCUUUCUGUCAACCCAAAUCAACAAAUUUGAUCAUAAUAGACAUUGGCCAAGACCAGAUGAAGGAUCAAAACACAUACACACUCACAGUCACACAUAAAAAAGAUGAGGCUCCAAGCUUUUAAUGGUCCACACUAUGCAAAGACCAUUAGCGAAUUGUUACAAUCAAUGACACCUUAUAUUGGAUAAUAAAACAACCAACACCAAGUCCAUCCUUAAUCUUUUCUUAACUGUUAUACCAUUUCUGUUCACAAGGUUAACAACCAUCCCAAAUGGCUUUCUCCAUCUUCAUCCUCUUGUUUAUCAUCUUGUCAGUUUCUGGAAGAAGGAAGAUGAUUACUCUGAUGGCGAGAAGAGACUCAGCGAUUGCAAAAAAAGUAAAAGAAAUGAGAAGAGGACAGAAAAAUUAUAACCAAACAAAUUAAGAUGAAAUUGUUACCCUUAAAUUGAAUACUUUCAAGUAGGGCUAAAUGUUUGCAACCAAUGUUACAAAAAUAGUUUGGAUAACACUUUUUUUGAUAUAUAAAGUAUCAUUAUCAUCACCAUUCCUCUGGAAAUGGAGAGAGAGAGAGAGAGAAAGAAAAAAAAUAAGAUUGAAUUGACCUUUAAAGGAAUUGGACAUGAAGCAAGUGGACAUUAAAAGAAGCAAAACU